Molecule: transfer RNA, 74 nt
Filed under: Coniochaeta sp. 2T2.1
Lineage: Eukaryota; Fungi; Ascomycota; Sordariomycetes; Coniochaetales; Coniochaetaceae
Rfam family: tRNA
About the family: Transfer RNA (tRNA) molecules are approximately 80 nucleotides in length. Their secondary structure includes four short double-helical elements and three loops (D, anti-codon, and T loops). Further hydrogen bonds mediate the characteristic L-shaped molecular structure. tRNAs have two regions of fundamental functional importance: the anti-codon, which is responsible for specific mRNA codon recognition, and the 3' end, to which the tRNAs corresponding amino acid is attached (by aminoacyl-tRNA synthetases). tRNAs cope with the degeneracy of the genetic code in two manners: having more than one tRNA (with a specific anti-codon) for a particular amino acid; and 'wobble' base-pairing, i.e. permitting non-standard base-pairing at the 3rd anti-codon position.
Source: Rfam by way of RNAcentral
GGUUCGAUGGUGUAGCUGGUUAUCACGUCAGUCUAACACACUGAAGGUCUCCGGUUCAAGCCCGGGUCGAAUCA